CUUUCUUGUCAGCUNUUGUUGUUAGAAUGUUGGGUUAAGUCCCGUACAUCUGAGCGCAACCCUUGUCCNUAUUUUGCCAGCGGGUAAGCCGGAACUCUAAGGAGACUGCCGGUGACAAACCGGAGGAAGGUGGGGACGACGUCAAGUCAUCAUGGCCCUCACGGGGUGGGCUACAAACGUGCUACAAUGGGAAGUACAAAGGGCUGCGAACCAGCGANGGUAAGCGAAUCCCAAAAAACUUCUCGUAGUCCGGAUUGGAGUCUGCAACUCGACUCCAUGAAGUCGGAAUCGCUAGAAUCGCGAAUCAGAUGUCGCGGUGAA
This 321-nucleotide ribosomal RNA is filed under the name uncultured bacterium. RNAcentral describes it as "bacterial SSU rRNA". It matches the Rfam family "Bacterial small subunit ribosomal RNA", at positions 1049 to 1366 of the family's 1533-position model. The record is from RNAcentral.